RNAcentral lists this unclassified non-coding RNA (2966 nucleotides) under Caenorhabditis elegans. RNAcentral describes it as "Non-coding transcript of protein-coding gene ints-5". The record is from RNAcentral. Lineage: Eukaryota; Metazoa; Nematoda; Chromadorea; Rhabditida; Rhabditidae.
AUGGAAAACAAACCGAAAUUGCCAAAAUCUGUGGAAAGUAUCGAAAAAGCACGGCUGGAUGAGAAAUACGCGGAAACCGUGCAAAUCUUCGAGGAAUUCCACAAAAUCGCGUGUCUCGGCGAUUUGACGUCAAUCUAUCGGAGCCGCGCAUGUUUUGCGGCUGAAAAACGCAAAUCGGCACUUGUAAAGCCGGCAAUCGACGUUUUUCGAGCAUUUCCAGCGUCAAGACCCACAGUUUUUCACUAUACGGGCCUUUUAAUCCACGAGAGCGCUCAUCACUGGUUCAACGCGCAGGAAAAUGUGCAACAGGUUUCCAACAUCACCAUCGUCAACGAAGCCACGUGUGAACUACUGGAUUUUUAUAUGAAAUUUUUCGCGGAAACCGAUGGAAAUAGUGGUCUAGAAGAGUGUCUGCAGUGGCUCUGUGAAAUAUGCUCCGAGCUCUCUUCGAAAAACGCUGGCCGCCCCGCAAUGCUUCCGGCUCAACAAAACGCUGAAAUCCUUCAAAUCUGGAAAUCGAAUGACGUCAUCGACAAGCUUCUCUCCCUUCUGAGCAUUUGUGUGACGUCAUCGUUGGCUCAGAACUCUGUCGGCUGUAUGCGGGCUCUUUUUGAAGCUUCACGACACGGACAACACUUUAGCUGGAUUUGGCUUCACAUUGCAACCCUACUCCAAGGCUCAAUCAUCACACAUUUACUGGAAUCGGGUGCCGAGCAAUUCCGCACCUACGUCAUUGAAAUUUCAAGCCGAAAAACGGUCCAAACGGGCGGUCCGGCCGUGUUGAACAUUAUUCAGACAGAGUACGAGCACAAAUUUCGCGCGAUUUCCGACGUUUUCAACUUUUUGAUGCAAAAACGGAAUCCCGAGCUGCAGGAGGCCGUUAGCCAGCUUAUUGUGGACAGUCUCGACUUCAAGCCGGCGGCAGGCCGAGGCGGCGGCUCGGUAAAUCGCCUCGGAUUCGCCUUUUUCUUCAAACUCGUCACGUGCUCGCUGAAAACUUUGCAGAUUUUGGUCAAUACGAAUUGUCAUUUGAUCACCCCAUUCAACGUAAUUCGUGCAAUUCGACAAGUUCAAACCGUCGAAAAGUCCCUAAUACUCCCGGCAAUCACAUUUUCCGAUUUUAUCAAACAAAUUGUGGAAGACGUCGACCCAAUCACUCAUGGAAUCAUUUUUGAGCUGCUCGUCGAGCUCGUCUAUAAUCCCGCAGUUUUUGAGGGCGAAAAUCUGCCGGAAUUUCGAGAAUCCAACGAGAAAAUCCGAGCCGACUGCUUCCCGGUGCUCGACGUGAUGAUUAGCCGUAUUAUACGAAUUGCUCACUCGGCUGGAGGCUACAAGUGCUCGUCACUACACCCGGCUAUUCAGCUUUACUCGUCCGGCGAAAAACUCCAAUUUAUUAUCGAUUCGGCGAAAAAUUGCACUGAUAAUUUGCAAAUGACUUCAUCAAUAAUUCGUCAUCUCCACGCGAUUUCCAUCGCUUUUGACGAAUCAAAAGCCGCCGAAAUUGCUCUCCGCUUCCUUAUGACUACAGAUUUCGGGGAUUCCAAAAAACUGGAAAUCCUGAUGGCCUACCUCUCGGCUACCGUACCCUUCUACCCACAAAUGCUAGCCAAGAUGUGGGCAGAGUUUGGCGGGCUCCGCGAGCUCAUCGCCUUCUCGUUCGACCCGGAAUCCCCGCUGAAACGCGACAGCAUCCACGUUCACAUGAACCUUUUGCACAAUUUCCGAACGAUUUUCGACUGGGAACUGCACACGGCGCCGGCCGCACCGAAAAACUCUUACGGAUUCUGGAAAUUGUAUCCGGGACAGCACAUUGGUUCGGUGCUCAACACGAUUUUGACGAAUACCGUCAAAAUUUGCUGGGAACUGCAGGAAAUCUUCCCGAUGGAAUUGUGAUUUUCGAGGAGCUCCGUGCCCAGUGCUUAUAUUUCUUGUUCGGAAACCACCUCGACCCGCAACUUUCCCGCUUUUCGCCGGUUUUUGUUCAAAUUUUCGUCCAGUCGUGCUACGCGGACGCGAAAAAACUCUUCCACGAGCCCAUCAUCGAUCACGGCUUGGAGCAACUUUUAGAUGAAACUCAGGGUCUUGGCCGGAUUUUGGAUAUGCAGGAGCUUGUCGAUGGACCAUCUGUGAUCGGACAGCUGAAAUCGCUGAAAAUGCGAGAUUCCGCGUUGGCAAUGCUUCAUACGGGACAGUUGAAGCGGCGGCGGCUUCUCGAGGACCCGGUUACUGUGGAAAAUGAAAACGCUACACAGCGUGUCUACGUGGUCCUAGACGCCAUCCGCCUAAUGUGUACUUCCGGAAAGCUGGAAAUUCGUAUCGGAUGCAGUAAGCACCUGGCUCAGGCACUACUGCAGACAAUCUGCAAAGAUUCACUUAUGAGUGAUAUGCGAUUCGAUGAAUGGGAUAGUGAAGCCGAAUUUAUUCAUCGACACGUUGAAAUCGCCCAACGCAUCGCCCGUUCGCCGUUCUCCGACGGAAUCCUGCGUAUUCUUGCCGAAACUCGAAGUUUCGCCUACUGCCUGCCUAUCAUGAAGUCGAAGUUGGCCGUGCUGCUCAACGAUACCGAAAAAUUCCCCGAACACGUAGCAAUUUCCGAGCCAACGCGGCAAAAGCUACAAAACUGGGUGUUUUUGGCGCAAAAAGGCGGGAUUUUGCCCGGCAGACUGGCGCCGAUUUGCGAUUUGGAACAAUUCUCCACGUGUCAUGAGACACAUUUGAUGCUCGUCGAGAUUUGGCGAUUUUUUGUGGUCCGUCAGCUAAAUACCGCCACAAUCGACACAUAUCACAUGGAAAUUCUACGCGGUGACGUUGACGAGGGCCUGCCCGCCGAAAAAGAAUCAAUCGAUAAAAUCAAUACUUCUGUCUUUAGAAUUAUCAUUCAAAAUCAUUUGCCCGACUCGGCCCACUUGUUCCCGAAAAUUUUCCCGUUGGAAUUUGAAUUUCUGAAAUUGUGCAAAGUUGAAUAG